UACGUAGGUGGCAAGCGUUGUCCGGAUUUAUUGGGUUUAAAGGGUGCGUAGGCGGCUUUUUAAGUCAGUGGUGAAAGCCGAUCGCUUAACGAUCGAACUGCCAUUGAUACUGAAAGGCUUGAGUAUAGAUGAGGUAGGCGGAAUUGACAGUGUAGCGGUGAAAUGCAUAGAUAUUGUCAAGAACACCAAUUGCGAAGGCAGCUUACUAAGUUGUAACUGACGCUGAGGCACGAAAGUGCGGGGAUCAAACAGG
This 253-nucleotide ribosomal RNA is filed under the name uncultured bacterium. RNAcentral describes it as "partial 16S ribosomal RNA". It matches the Rfam family "Bacterial small subunit ribosomal RNA", at positions 524 to 776 of the family's 1533-position model. The record is from RNAcentral.